CCAGUGAAUGGCAAGACUAGGAAUAUCUGUACUUUGUAUAUGAAAAAAACUUUUCAUCUAAGUGAAAAGACUUAGAUAAUAAAGGAAGACGAAAAGACCCCGCGGAACUUUACCUUUUCUCAUACCUCUGUCUACAAACUUAAAAGUCUAUAAGGUUUGAUUGGGGCAAUCUUGGAACCAACAAAGCUUCCAACGACUUACAAUAUUUAUACAAAAUUUGUUAAAGACUAAAAAGUAGUUACCCCGGGGAUAACAGCGUAAUCCAACUAAAGAGUACACAUCGAAAGUUGGGUUUGCGACCUCGAUGUUGGCUUAAGGAUAUCCACAUAAGUGCAACCGCUAUGACAGGAUAGUCUGUUCGACUAUUAUACCCUUACAUGAUCUGAGUUCAGACCGGA
RNAcentral lists this ribosomal RNA (398 nucleotides) under Unio tumidus. RNAcentral's name for it is "partial 16S ribosomal RNA". The stretch from base 57 to 398 matches the Rfam family "Bacterial large subunit ribosomal RNA", at positions 2048 to 2620 of the family's 2925-position model. The record is from RNAcentral. Lineage: Eukaryota; Metazoa; Mollusca; Bivalvia; Unionida; Unionidae.